Mytilus californianus (California mussel) is the source of this 985-nucleotide long non-coding RNA. RefSeq lists it as uncharacterized. The record is from RefSeq and is a predicted model, not a curated record. The transcript is spliced from 2 exons. NCBI's taxonomy places the organism in Eukaryota, Metazoa, Mollusca, Bivalvia, Mytilida, Mytilidae.
UGCUUUUUAUACGACCGCAAAAAAAUUUUUGUGGUCGUAUAUUGGUAUGACGUUGGCGUCGUCGUCGUCGUCGUCCGGCGUCGUCGUCCGAAUACACAUUAGUUUUCGCACUCUAACUUUAGUUUAAGUGAAUGGAUCUCAAUGAAAUUUUACCAUAAGGAUCAAUACGACAAAAGGAAGGUGGGGAUUGAUUUUGGGGGUUAUGGUACUAACAGUUAAGGAAUUAGGGGCCAAAAAGGGGCCAAAAAUAAGCAUUGUUGUAACUUCCAGACAUAACUUGUGUGUAAGUAUAUGGAUCUCUCUGACAUUGUACCACAAGGUUCCAUAUCACAAAGGGAAUGCUGGGAUUGAUUUUGGGGGUAAUUGCCUCCAAAUUUUAGGAAUUAGGGGCCAAAAAGGGGCAAAAAACAAGCAUUUUUCUAGUUUCAUGACAAUAACUUGUGUGUAAGUGUAUGGAUCUCUCUGACAUUGUAUCACAAGGUUCCAUAUCACAAAGGGAAUACUGGGAUUGAUUUUUGGGGGUAAUUUCCUCCAAAUUUUGGGAAUUAGGGGCCAAAAAGGGGCAAAAAACAAGCAUUUUUCUAGUUUCAGGACAAUAACUUGUUUGUAAGUGUAUGGAUCUUUAUGAAAUUUUACUGCAAGGUUCCAUAUCACAAAGGGAAAGCUGGAAUUGAGUUUGGGGGUAUUUGCCGAAAACGUUUAGGAAUAAGGGGCCAAAAAUAAGCAUUUUUGGAAAAUGACGCUAUCAGCGGCAUGUUUCCGAUACCAUUGACCAGAACUAACGGAAGUUGAUUAUGCCUCCGCCUACCGCACUCGGUUUCAUAUUUACUAUUUAACAUUCUGACUGGAAUCUGAUUGUAUUUCGCUACACUCGAACAAAGUGUUGUAGUCGGACGGGAACCAGUUUACAUACGUUAUUUUAUUUACCAAAAAGAUAUCUUGAACUGUCCAUAUGUUUUUUGUUAUUAAAUGGUAUUUGGAGCUA